GCGAACUUAAGAAGGGACCCUUUCCAGUGGAACGCGACUUCACUCUUUCCGAUUCACUCAACGCUUUUUUGGAGACAGUACGUUCACGUGAGAAUCAAAAAGAAGCGAGUCUGCGUUCCAGAAAAUCACGUGGCCAAUCUUUCUCUCUCUCUCUCUCUCUCUUCCUCCUCCCUCCCUCUCUCUCUCUCUCUCUCUCUCUCUCGCUCUCUCGCUCUCUCGCUCUCUCAUCUUUUACAACCCUCUCCAGCCUGGCUGUGUGUACGAACUUUCAUACAGUCAUCGUGGGCGCUGCGGCGUGUUGAGAUGUGCCGGUCCUUGCACACUUUGGGGAAAUCCGUGGGUGGGGGAGACUGAAAAUGGCUGAGAACAGGACGACCAAAGAAAGCAGCUCCGUCGACCCGUUUCUUCCUGCCAGCUUACCCCCCUCCCCGCUUCCUGUUCUUUGGACCUCGCAGACUUGAUGGAAAUCCUCUACAUGAACUUGUGGGGUGUGCUGAGCCAACUGAGUAGCUGGAUGAAAUGGGAAACUCCACGGCAGGAAGUGGUGCUUUUCUGAUGCUGCUAAUUAAGGAAUGUGGAACCCUUCCUUCUGAGUCAGCUUGGCGGGGUCUCCCUUGACCUCCCGUUUGGAGAAGAUGCCGGAGGAACACUGAAAGGCAGGUCGUCUCUCAACUUCCGUGAGGAUCACCCAGAUCCAGGUUACCAGGAGAACUAAAUAACACCAUGAUUAGAUAAAUCGGAUGUGGAGUUAAUGGGAACGAACUCAACGGGUCUGUCUUGGGGGAGAAGAAGGAAUGGAGAAAAGCGAGGUCACAGACUGAAUGCUCUUCCUAGCCAACUGCGGAAGGCGUCGGGUUUCGGGUCUAAUGUAAUGUCGUCGGGGGAGCCGAGACUGG
Molecule: long non-coding RNA, 896 nt
Filed under: Equus asinus (donkey)
Lineage: Eukaryota; Metazoa; Chordata; Mammalia; Perissodactyla; Equidae
Description: lncRNA (ENSEASG00005035733.1)
Source: RNAcentral